This 8159-nucleotide long non-coding RNA is filed under the name Triticum aestivum (bread wheat). Its description in RNAcentral is "long non-coding RNA (TAES_LNC022318)". Lineage: Eukaryota; Viridiplantae; Streptophyta; Magnoliopsida; Poales; Poaceae. The record is from RNAcentral.
GUUUGGGACCCAGUGUUGGUCGGGUUGUGAUCGCCGUAAGGAUCACGGUGGUAUCGAGGAUACCGAGUCGUUGUAUAUUCGUGAUGUUGUACGAGAGUCAUGGGUAAAGAUCAAGCUCCUUGUGUUCAUUUACUGAUCGCUACGGUAUUGUUUAUACCAAGCUUGAUUUGAUCCUGAGAUGAUCGUGUGAUGUCCGAGGUUGGUAAGUGAUGCAUGUGUUGGUUACGAGGUAACCGAGCAAAGUAAGUGGUGCAUGUGGUGUCAUCAUGUUGCAUCCUAUUAUUAUCGGAUUAAUAUAUUCAUGUUGAGAUAGUUGUAUCAUGUUUAUGUUGGUCAUGCCAUGUUAUUCUGAUGAUAUCAUGUUAAUUCAUGUUUAACCUGUAAUUGCCAUGUUGUUGUCUGACUUGAAUGCUUCUGGUUCAUUGUGAGCUUGCAAGUACAUUCAAUGUACUGACCUAGCAUGUCAUGCCAGCUUGCAGGUCAUGCCGGAUUUGAUUGCUUGCUUGUCGUGGUUUCCGUUUGUGCGAGCUAGGAUAAGCGUUAUAGCCAGAGUCCCCGCGGAAUGGAGUUCACCACCGUCAUCGUUGUUCCACUGCUAGAGUUAUUCCGCUGCUUCGAGUUGUUUUGCUGCUUGCAUAGAGCAACUGAGGAUGGUGUAGUGUCGCCGUACCGAUGUUAUUCAUUGUAAUAUCGGAGACCUUGUAUUCAUAUUCGUGUAAUAAUAGAAAGCUGGUUUUUUCUAUGCUAAGCAGUGCCGUAUUCCAGAAGACUUCUCCUCGAUCUCUGGGCUAGAAUAUGGGGCGUUCCGGUUUUCUCUGAUCCGGGGUGCCACAGCGCUUGGUAUCAGAGCAGGUCUGGCUGUAGGACUCCCUAGACCGCGCGAAUGUUAGAAAUCGGUAGUAUAGAGUCUGGUUUGUUGAUUGCAGUUGAUUGCUGCAUUUAUUUGUCACAUAGCAAUGCAUAUAGCCUUAGUAUUUGUACUAACGAUUUAUCGGGUGAGUGUAGAUGGCAUCAGUUCGGAUCCACUACAGCUCAACCUUUGCAUUUUCCCUAGUUCCUUUUCUUUCUGUAGUUGGUGUCAAUUCUGUCCUAGCAGAGUGAUGCCAAGUGAUCCCGACACUGUUUGCAAAAAUGGUGCUCAGGUAUCACGCCGAUGUUUUUCUUUCAGUCCUGCCUAUCAUUUUGGUGAUGGACAUGCUUCUAUCCCGGAUCGUUCUUUUAUUUCGUCGUGUUGGCAACCCUUAAUGAUAUUAAUUAUCAAGAAGGGGCAAUGUCAGCAGCCUCAGUUUUUUUCCCCGCAAUCCUAUUUCUUGGAUGAGUAUGGAUCUUUUUCCGUCCGCUUGAUAAUAAUGUGGUUGCGACCUUCGUGUCCCGCUGCAUGAUUACCGAGUGUGUCCUCGCCUCCGAGCUAGUCCAGGUUGCUAUCUGGCUAAGCUAGCACUUGGUGUAGCGCUAUUUACACCAAUUCUUCCACACAUUUAUUCGUCCUCGUGCACAUCGUCACAGCAUAUUAGACCGCAAUACUGGAGUUUCCGCGAGAUUUGUGUGCUUAGGUGUGCAUGCAUAUUAUUGUGUGAGUAGCAGUAAUAUGUGGUGAUUGCUUGAUUAAUUAUACUAGUAGAAUGCUUGUGUGCUUUUGUUUUAGUCGUUUAUGUUGCUCCUUUCUUUGGGCCUUCAGUGUUACAAUUUUUUCCCCUAUUAAUGCAUAUAUUUGGAAAUUCAGCUAAACAGAAUGGAAUUAUCAGCUGACUGCAAUGAAAUUGGGAAUAUCUUGUCUGAAUGCAAAAGAAAUCCUGGAUGGACCGUCAGUAUCAAGUUUGCAUUAGCAUGCACUCAUCACAACAAUAUGACUAAAUCAGCAAGAAGGUAAAUUGUGUGCAAGAUUGGCAGAAGAGUAUCAAAAGUAUGGCUCAGUACAAGUUUAAUUUUUCAUUGAGGAUGAUUUUGGAACUCGAUGUACCUGGAAGCAAACAAAACUAUGGCAUAUACUCAGAAAGGAGGAUAGUCCAGUAAAACCCUGUUUCAUACAAAAAAAUCAAUAGCAAAAAUAUUCAGAUGGUUUUAUAUGUGGAAAUUGGUCCGCAUAUCACAAUAAGAAGCUUCUGGUGAAAGCAACCCAAUCUUCCCUCGCAAGAUACCAGAGAAGUUUCCAAGGAAAGAUUCAUCUAUCUUCCUCAGUAUGAUAUAUGGAUGAUUUCUCGCGCAAGGUACCAUGUCUUCUUCAGUAAGCAACCGCAAAAGCUUCCAGCAUAAGGUACUGAGUCUUUCCCCAGCAAAGUCUUUAAGGGGGUAAGCUUCUGAAGCACGAUACCCAGUCUUCUUCAGCAAGCUGUCCGAUGAAAGUUUCGAGCACAAGCCAGCAAAUAUUCCUCAGUAAGACAUUGGUAUAAGGUAGUACGCUCUGAAUUGACAGCAUAUGGUAGUGAAUCCCAAGAAUCAGAUCUACAACAUUUCGGUCAGAAUCAAGAAUCAGUUAGAAUACACGUCUGUCUCGGAAUCAGGCCCUCAUAUAUAUGCAAUGAGCAUACCAUCAUGAUCUUACAAGUCACUCGGAUGAGGAUCUGAUAACCACGUGAGGAUGGUUAAUAGAAGAAAGCCAGUAUACACCGCAGUGUGACAAAGGAUUAUGAGGAUUGACGACAUCAAUGAGCUCAAUACAAGUACCCGUGAACCUGGAAAAUGAUCCUGAUGAGCCCUUGUCCCCUUUUUCUCCAAUGAUGGCACCACGCCUGUGAUCUGAGUUGUUUCUAGCUAUCCGGGGAGAAUGCCGAUUUCUGUUUCUCUCUUCAACGACUGUCACAAGUCUGAGCUGCUUAUCGGCCAUCUCGUACAGCUGUUGAGUUUCUUUUUGUGACAGUAGCCCUAUAGCUACUUUUUGGCUAUUUUAGGGAGCUGCCACCUUCUUCUUAUCGACCCGGUCUCAUGCUCUGAGCUGCUUUUCGGCCGUCCUGAGCCGUGGUUGAGUUAUUUCAGUAAUGUCCCAGAUCUGAGUUGUAAAGACCGUUUUGGUGGCUACUGACUUAUUUGCCGAUUUCUUGCAAGGGUUUCGGAUGAUCAUUUCCCAACGAUCAGAACUUGAGAGGUGUUGAACCUGCCAUAUAAUGGGUUACCCUAUCAGAAAAAUGAGGAUAAGCUACGAUUGCCAAAAAAUUGCACCGACAAUACCUAUGGUCAUAUGAAGAAACAAUAUGACCCAGCUCUUUCAGCCAAGGAUCCGGACCAAGAAAACAAUAAUGAAGGAGCAAGACCAGUGAUGCAGGUAUGAAAAUUGUAUACGACCCCCAUGGUGCAGAUCCCCCGGACAGUCUAAGUUAGUAUUGAUCCGCAUGGAUAUGCCUACAACAUGAGUAAUCGGCAUGAGGAAUAAUAGUCUGGAAGCCUGAGUCCUCACUUACAUGAAUCAUCAUGGAUAGCCUGUCGUGAACAAAAAUUUCCCGUCAGAACCACCAUCAGUCAAGUCUGCAGAUAUUAUCAUACAGGCCAAACCCUUUAUGCUGGCCACGACAGGAGACAAUCAAAUAUUUGGUAUGGAUCCGAUACCCAUGACAAUGGAACCAGUUAAGAUGAUUCAGAAACUUCUAUGAUGAGUCAGAAUUUGUCAAGAAACGGAUAUGUUUUAACUCACUGUUUGGAACCCAAAGGACCUGCAUUUAGCAGAGAAACCCAAUGCAAUGAGUCAGAGCUUGAGUUUUCAUCAAAAAAAUCUGAUCAUCAUUACAUGAAAGUUUGUCAGUGCCGGGUGGCACACCCAGCGGAAAUCACUUUUGGAUUUGUGAGACGGACAUAUAUUUUAGUCGUGAUAAUUAAAUCACACUCAGCUAGUUAGCAGAACUAAAAAUAAAUUGGAGCCUAUAUAAGAAUGAGCAAGCCAGGUAAGAGCUGUCAGAAUGAGGAUACAGUGAAUCAAACCACCCCAGGGCCAGUCAGAUAAAAAUUUAGUGGGAACAACCAUAAAGGAAAAAGGAUACCCGAGUUGGAAACGGUUUCCUUAAAUUAGAAUAUUCAUACCAGUUCCUGGAGAAACCAAAUCUCGAGGAUGAGAUUUCUUUAAGGGGGUAAGGUUUGUAACAGCCUGAUUUUUGGCCCUUUCUUUUUCUUUUGUUUUUCCGAGGUUUUUGCCUGAGUUUUUCUUUUUCGUGGCUUUGUGGUCUGGAAACUGAAGGAGAUGACCUCUUCUUUGCUUCCAGAGUGGCUUGCCAUUCCCAAAUCUUUCCCUAGACCCUGUCAUUUCCAUCCUAGCCCAAAUCCCAAUAUCCUUUUUAUUGGGAAUAUUCCUUUUCUAUUAAAGGAAUAACACCAAUUGCCCUAGGUUGUGAAGCAACCUAUAUUUCCCUCACUCCAAAAAGUCCCAAGUAAUUAUCAUAAAUUUUUUGGGUCAUAUCUUGAUCAAAUAUGGCAAAACUUUGCAUUGCCAUGUUCAGAAAUAAUCCUCCAAUAAUUCAUUUCCUAUUCUGCACUAAAUGGCACUUUGUGAAGGAAGUGUCAUUUAUAUUUAUCCUAUUGACUCCCAACCUUUUUGGGAAUGUUUAUAUGUCCAAAUAAUUGCCUCAUGCACAAGUUCAAAUUUAUUUGCGUAGCCAAUCUUCCUGAGUGAAUUUUCAAAGUUUCUGUCAAACAGAAGGCUUUGUGAAGGAAGUACUAGCUAUGAGUACCCAAACGAUUUGAAAUUUUGCACACUCCUUAAUGUGCUCAUAUUAACCACCUCCAACCAUUUGAAGCCCUAUCCAAUCAUCUAUGUGAGCACAGGAGCCAAUCUUUGUUUCUGGCAAUAUUUUCAGGUUGUGAGGCAAGUAUAUUUUAUAUUGCUUCAAAAAUCCUGAUAACUUACCAGAUCAUUCUUCUACCCAUAAAACAUCUCUCCACCCAUUUUGGCAUCAUUCCAUUGAGCCAUUUGACCACCAUAAUUAUUCCAAGUUUCUUGUCAGUAGAGAUGUUUGUGAAGCAAGUGCUAUUUUGGUUUGUCCAUUUGGCAUGAUCUUUUUACAGCAUCAUCAUAUGACCAAAUGAUCAAGCUUUGCCCAAUUUGAGCUCAAGUUGACACUCCAUGUGAGAGCAUCUUGCUGAUCUUCAUUUCUGGACCAAGUAUGCAGUUGUGAAGCAACUGCAGUAUAACUUGAUCCUUUUACCCUCAAACCCCCCAGGACUGUAGUCCCUCCAUAGCUAAACCCCCCAGACAACAAUUCUACCAUUCAACCUCUCUGGUUUUACCUCUAGGAUCUUGCCAAGUUUGCAACAGCAAACUUGUGGAGCUUGGUUUACUCCACUCUCUUUGUCUCUGCCUGUCUAUUUACCUUAGUAAUACUCCACGCUGGAAGGACUACACGGUAGACAUGAUUUAGCCUCAGUAAAAACACCAGAGCAUGCCAUGCCAGUGGUGACCACGAGGACAGCCAGCCAAAACGGUGGUCUAGCCACUGUUGGCCUCGGCAUCGUCGCUCCGGUUGGUUUUGGCUUGUCCCCAGGUGUCUACCAGCUCAGCAUCGUCGUCCUCUUCACCCUGGACCCCUCUCCCCCUCCGACCGCUUCCUGGUCGGCGCUCGUCGCCGUGCACCCACGGACGCAUUGUGGCCGCCAAGGCUUUAAUGGCGUUCAGCCAUUUCUUCCUCUGCUCCCCUCGACCCCGUGAGCUCUGUCGCUCGUCCGCACCUCCCUCGUCGCCUUGCCACCCCUCGCCGUGACCCUUGGCCGCGUGUGCCCAUCGCCGGAGCACGGACACGUAGCCGCGGACGUGCCACGAUCUCCCCUCCUCGCCCUAGCUAUUUAAGCCAUCCCCGGCCUCGUCCAAGCUCACCUCGAGCCUUGCCUCACCCCCUCUAGCCCUCCCCGUCCACUCACUCGAGCUCCAGAGCCCCUCCCCACCUCUCUCUGCCGCCAUGGCCGCCGCCUCGGCCCGGCUAGAUUAGCCCGAGUCCGAGCCCCUCCCUCACUCCUUCCACCACCAGUGAGAUCCACUCACUUCGGCGCCCUUGCCCAUGCCCUUUCGCCCUUGCCGGAACCACCGUGGCCGCGAGCUCCAUCUCCUCCUGAAGCUUCCUCCGCCGGAGUCCAUGCCCUGCCCGACCCCUUCCUCUUCGGUGUGCGCCACUGGCUCAGGCCGACGCAGCUCUCCACGCUGAGCUCGUCGGUAGGCGGAGCGUCGCCGGAGGCCUUCUGUGGCGCCGGCUAUCGCCGCCCGAUGCCAGCGGCCUCCCUCUGCCUCGCGGGCGAGCGAGAAGAAGACGACGACGACCCAGGUAGCCGCGGGCCCCGCCAGUCGGUGGCUGGCCGUUGACCCUGCGGGCCAGCAUGGAUAAGUGACGGGCCCCACCCGUGGGACCCGCAUGCGUCAGCCCCGCCACUGUUCCAACGGAUAAGGUGAAAGCGUAUUCCUCUGUUUACGUUUUGUCUUUUUCUAUUCAAGCCCCUAGUUGAAAAGUUUUCCAUUAUAGAUAGGUCCCUGGCAGUAAUACUCUUAUAACUUUUUAUCCGUAACUCCAAAUGAGGUGAAACCAACGCUCACUUCUUCGUUUCGUCGAGCCCGUUCUGUUGGCCAUGUUUUCACUAUGGCUUCACACUGUGAAAAUGACCAUUAUUCCCUUGCCCUUAUUUAGCAACCUCCGAGAGAGAACGUUUUCUAGCGAAUAUUUCCGCGGCUUCAUCGCACUUCUCCCCGGUGCCUUCUUCAUCCCCAGGCAAGCCACAAUACCCACUUGCAUGAUAGUCAUGUAGUAGCCAUGGUUUUCAACUUGAAUCUUUAUUAAAUAUUUGCUUGUUGAAAAGAUGGUUAUCGUUGUUUCGGUAAUGUUCAGAUUUGCAUGUUCACUUUUGUGCUAUGUUGUCUUAUACUCUAUGAUCAUGUUAUACCUGCUAGUAUUACUUUUCAUAUGUUUAUGCUUGCUAGUAGUACAGGUUGAUGUUGGAGAUGGUCAUGCUAGUCGGUAUGCCAUGUUCGGUGGAUAUGAUUGGUGAUAUGGUGGAAAGUUAUGUGAUACUCUCAUGAUGAUGUUGAUAUCAGGUUCAUGUGUUAUAGUUGGCAUCAUGUUAUUUUAUCAUGGCUCAGCAUAUUUGCAUUCAAGUUUAACCGGAUUAAAUUGAACUUGAACACCUAUUGGCUGAGUCAUGGUGCCGCUGAAUUGAUGCUGACCAGUGCAACCACGCUUACCGGUAUGGUACGGUCCUAACUGGGUCUAUUGUUGUGCCUCUCGCUGGUGCCUCCAAUGAGGGAAGGUUAUGGGCGCGUGCUACCCUAAUCAGGUAGGCGGAGCAUAACCUUGUGUGCCCCGUAGUUAUUAUAGCCGGCGGAUCCCCGUGUGGGAUCGUUUAUGUGUUUGGCCAUGAUGGUGGUCGUUGUGUCUGGAGGUAGGCACGGGGUCACCCAUGAAUUAGCUCAGUGAGGAGUGAGUCGGAGUGGUCGGGAGAGUGUCAUGGAAAUAGAUCGGUUUUGUCGGAACACCGUUUGUCCAGCCGAAUGGGAGUGCGAGGCCAUUGGUUCCGUAGUGUGGGUACAGUGUACUAACCUCUGCAGAGUGUAUAUUAAUCUAUCGAUAGUCAUGCCCACGGAUAAGGGCCCAGGUCGAGAGAAGGUCACGCCAUGAGUCAACAGUAAUAAUAAUAACGUGCCUAAUAAUAACGAGACGGGCCAAGUGUUGGUCGGGUGGUGAUCGCCAUAAGGAUCACGGGCCAUGUAUUGGUCGGGUGGUGAUCGCCGUAAGGAUCACGGUUUGGGGCCAUGUAUUGGUCGGGUGGUGAUCACCGUAAGGAUCACGGUUUGGGACCCAGUGUUGGUUGGGUUGUGAUUGCCGUAAGGAUCACGGUGGUAUCGAGGAUACCGAGUCGUUGUAUAUUCGUGAUAUUGUACGAGAGUCGUGGGUAAAGAUCAAGCUCCUUGUGUUCAUUUACUGAUCGCUACGGUAUUGUUUAUACCAAUCUUGAUUUGAUCCUGAGAUGAUCGUGUGAUGUCCGAGGUUGGUAAGUGAUGCAUGUGUUGGUUACGAGGUAACCGAGCAAAGUAAGUGGUGCAUGUGGUGUCAUCAUGUUGCAUGAUAUUAUUGUCGGAUUAAUAUAUUCAUGUUGAGAUAGCUGUAUCAUGUUUAUGUUGGUCAUGCCAUGUUAUUCUGAUGAUAUCAUGUUAAUUCCUGUUUAACCUGUAAUUGCAAUGCUGUUGUCUGUCUUGAAUGCUU